AGCUUUGCGCAGUGGCAGUAUCAUAGCCAAUGAGGUCAAACCGAGGCGUGAUUAUUGCUAAUUGAAAACUUUUCCCCAAUACCUCGCCGUGAUGACUUGAAAUAUAGUCAGCACUGGCAAUUUUUGACAGUCUCUCAGGAGA
Molecule: small nuclear RNA, 142 nt
Filed under: Xenopus tropicalis (tropical clawed frog)
Lineage: Eukaryota; Metazoa; Chordata; Amphibia; Anura; Pipidae
Description: U4 spliceosomal RNA (ENSXETG00000046911.1)
Rfam family: U4 spliceosomal RNA
About the family: U4 small nuclear RNA (U4 snRNA) is a component of the major U2-dependent spliceosome.
Source: Rfam by way of RNAcentral